Molecule: long non-coding RNA, 1093 nt
Filed under: Apteryx owenii (little spotted kiwi)
Lineage: Eukaryota; Metazoa; Chordata; Aves; Apterygiformes; Apterygidae
Description: lncRNA (ENSAOWG00000004854.1)
Source: RNAcentral
AAAAGAAAGCGACAGCCGCUUCUGCACGUGUCGUGGAAGACAAAAUCCCUGUUGGGCGACAACAUGUGCCCUGAGAGCACCUCCCGCACCGAGUUCCUCAGGGAUGGAGGUGGAGGACAUCCCCGGCUGGCUCCGGGUGUCCAGCCCUGUUGAGAGGGGGGCACUUCUGGGAGCACACCUGGUGCUAGGGAGACACUUAACAGCCCCAAGGCAGAGCCACAGACGAAUAUGUGUUUUAAGAUUGUCAUCUCAGAUGGAGGAGCCUCCACUGCUGCUGCCCCCAACCCAAAGCCCUGGGAACGGACCUGUCCCAGAGGUCUCACUGGGGCAGGCAGCACAGCUGGGCUUUCUGCAGGUACAGCUGGUGCUUGAGGGAAAGGCCGAAAGGGCAGAUACUGUCUGGUUUGUCUCCAUAACACCACAGUCAUUUUCAAGCGAUAACUUUUGACUCUAAAAGAGUUUCCCAUCAGCUGACCCUGCUCACGAGGAUAAAGAAGGUGGCCUACCUCCGAGAGCGGGGAGCGUGUCCGGACCCCGCGCGCCCGUCUCCCUUGGUCGGCUCGCCGCGCACGCUGCAGAGGCUGCCAGCGCCACGCGGGCUCUCUCCCAGGGCGCAGAAAGGCGGGCAGCAUGGCACCAUAACUGUUGAUCCUAACCCAACUCCUGAUAAAUGUUAGCGAGCUGAGCGAGCCUGAAAUGACUGCUUAAUCCAUACAUAUCAGACAUGAUCUAAACGUACAAAAACAUAGGAGGAGGGAAAAAAAGUAAGUGGGAAAGAGUAGAUAGCUGUUUCUUGCUCCCUUCCAAAUUCCACGUUUUUAAUAAUUCAGGAGAACUGGCAGUGUUUCAAUUGCUGAAAUUACACAGAUAUUUACACUAUUUGUCACUGUAUAAUUACUGCACUAUAUAUCACUAACCUAAAGUGAUUAUGCUGUGUAAAAGCAGUUAAAAACAAACUGGCAAACAUUGAUUAAUCAUCUUUUAGUAGCUCUCCCAUUAUUUAGAAAAGGAAUGUGAUCAUAACCCAGCAAGCAGUUUAUUUAAAAGAGCACAUUAGAAUAAAUAAUUGUAAUGUUAGUAAGCCGUUAGAGGC